RNAcentral lists this long non-coding RNA (2093 nucleotides) under Anser cygnoides (Swan goose). RNAcentral's name for it is "lncRNA (ENSACDG00005014992.1)". Lineage: Eukaryota; Metazoa; Chordata; Aves; Anseriformes; Anatidae. The record is from RNAcentral.
CAUCGGGAACACGAGGCCGGGUGCCCUCGCCCGAAGGGUGCCCUGGUUGGAGCAUCCUUGAAGGCAGAGCAGGGCUGAACCUUGGGAACAGAGCCGGGCACGGGGCAGGGAGCCCCCAAGGGGCUGUGUUAGCCACGUGGCUGCAUCCCAGGAAAACGAGCCCAUCGGGCCAGAGGGGAGCUGAGCGCACCCGGAUUGGCACCUUGGGGUGGUGCUGGCACGUCCCCAUCACCCUGCACUCCUCGCCACCUCCAGCCCCAAGUGCCAGGUGCCCCCGCCUGCUCUCGCAUCACACAGGGGGGCACCCUGCCCGCAGCACCCAGCCCGGCUCUGGGGACCUGGACGCCCCCUGCCCAGCUGCCCUGAGCCAUUACGGAGGGAUUUCACCCCAAAGCCCUUCCAUUCGUUCCCAAGGCACCUGGCUCAGCGCUCAGCAACGCGCCUGCUGUUUGCCGUGCCGCCCCCCCGCCGGGGCACGCCGGCUUGUUUACCGGGCUUACAGGAGAAGCUGUCCCGGCUGCUUUUUAUCACUCCUCAUUGCAUUUACACUGCCAGGGUAAACAGGGCCCAUCUGGCCCUGCCGCGCUUCCCGCACGCUGCUCUAAGCCCCGAGGUAAUGAAUAAAACCAGGCCCGCAGGUCCUCGCCCCGGCCUCGGCCCCCGGAGCAGCAAAUUGUCCCCGGUGCCAACGCGGCAUCGCCAGCGGGGCCCCGCUCGCCACCUCCAGCACAGCCACCGGCACCUUCACAGCCCCCUCCUCAUCCUCCCUGCCCAUGGAGCUGCGAUGAACACCAAGCCGCACCAAACCCAGAGCAGAGCCGAGCUGAACGGGCACAGAGCAGGGAGAAGUGGCAGCGGCGGGGCGAGCCGUCCCCGGUCCUCAGCAGCAGGUGAUUUCAGAGCAGAGCAUCGGCUGGAUCUCACUCCCAAACCAUCGCAGGCUUCGGGCUCCUCGGCACCGGAUUUGGAGGCGGUUGCAGAAGCAGCAAAGGAUGAAGACCUCUGUUGGAAGACGCCUUUUGCCGCACGUGGUACCGCAGGGCACGCUUCCUCCUCCCGGCUCGUUACACUGCACUUUAGCCAGCACAAUUAGCUGGUGGAGAGGCACUCCGCGGGUCCCCUGGGUGCCUUGAAGAGCGCACUGAGCCGUUCCCUUCCCCUGCGCUGGAGGCUCCAGCACGCCGCCUCCUCUCCCUCUUCUGCACAGCGCUGAAGCGUGCGGCUGCCCUGCUUCCCUGGCGUUUAGGGCUGCAGUGCGAGGGGGCUCACCGUACAUUCCCCCGUGCCGGGUGCCACCCCAUAACCACACAUUCCCCCGUGCCGGGUGCCACCCCAGCGAGCUGCCGCAGGCACAAGGCGCCCUGCAGCGCGCACAAGGCUCCCGCACCCACGGCAAGCACCGCGACCGCUCCAGCGCCGGCAAAAAAAAAAAACAAACCCGCAAGCUUUGAUUUUUCUCGGAGAUAUUGUUUCUAGGCCAAAGCGACGCUAAGAAAAGCUUCCAAACGCGAGCGCUGGGUUGGUGCCACCAGCUGGGGCGACGCGGGGCUCGGGUGCAGCAGAGGCUGUGGGCAGCCCCCGGCGGUACGGCGGGUGGAUAAAUGCAGCCGUGCCCGGGGUCGGGGAUGCAGCGGUGCCUCCCGAGCCGGCCGGCAGCCCCGGGGAGAGGCCGGCUGCCUCCAUCCCAGUGCUCGCAGCAGCGUGAGACAACAGCCGGGCGCUCCCUGUUCUGCACAGUCACUGCUCCGCCGCUGCGGCCAGGGAGCAGCCCUCGCUGCGAGGCUGGAAACAGAGCUGAGAGAGCUCGGUGCAGCCGAGCUGGGAGUUGAACCCCACAAGUGUGAGCCGGGGUGGGCCCGGCAGCCCCGCUGGGCACCCGCACGGCCCGGUCCCGCUGCCGGCUGCCCGGGGAGAGCAAACCGAGGGCGAGCCCCAGCCUGGGCAUCGCUCCCCAGAUCUCCCCGUACCUCGUUGUGGGCUUAACGAGCUGCGUUAUCACCCAAAGACAGGGCUGGCAAAGCCCCCCCAGCUGCUCCUAAAUCACCGAUAAGCCCUGCAAAUGUAGGGCUACCCGAGGGACCAGCCCGAAGGCC